AGAAGAAUAAACGAGAAAUGGAGGCGGAAUAGGAGAAGGAGCUAAGGUGGAAUAUUUAGAUGUUUAUCGGGUUCCUGAAGAUGCGUCGAGGUGUUAUCAUCCACGCAAGCUUCCCCAACCCAGCCAGUGUACCACAGGACGGGAGGAUGAAGCCAGCGGCUGCAUGCACCAUUGAACAGGACGGCAUUGUAUUCCUCCCACAGGAGUGACUACAGCGAAGCAAGCCCAGAAUAAAGUGUUGAGUGACCGUGAUGAUUCAAUACUGCUAACACCAAAGAAGUGAGGGAAGUGUUUGGAGUGAACGUGCAAGACAUACAACAGACACCAGACUGCUGCUGCUGCUGCUGCUGCUGCUGCCGGUGUAGCCAAAGGAACAAAAGGUCCGGAGCAGGAGGAAAAGAGGGUGAUUCUUGGAAACGUAGCAAUGAAGUUGUGAAGAUGUCUCGGGUGUGUUGCCUAGUGCGUUCCCUUGUCCCGCUCGAGAGAGAGAGAGAGAGAGACUCGGAUCACCACCGCGUCGAGCUGCCUGCCCACCUCCCUCCAUUGUCCUUCGCCCCUCACUUGAGUAUUGUGAACGUUGUAUUUAUUUUCAUCACGCCUCUGUGUUUGUAAAGGGAGAGUGUUCCAAUAAGUGAGCUCUGUUUGCAGUCACAUGUGUAUUUCAAAGGUGUUUUGCCAAGUGCUGUGCUGAGGUGUUGUGGUGUAUCUGUCUGUACGGUGUUCGAGCUAGCUUUCGCCCACGUUUGUGACGCUACCUUCUGUACUGCAUUUAAUGUCUGUGGAUUUCCCUGAUAAACCUUAAAAGUGUGGUUAUGUUGGUUCAGUGUACAUUUCCCUCGUGUAACGGAGUGGUAAGUCAACCUCCCUCCACGUACAACAGUGUCGGGAAUCAUUUCCCCCGUGUCACGGUGUCAUGGGAUAUUUUCUCAUGUUUGUUUGCUUGUGGGGUAAUGGUACGUGUAGUGUGGCAUACUGGUGAGUGAAGCUGCAUAACUCUCUACUCUCCAUCGUGGAUCUAUUUCCCCAUGAUUAUUACUCUUGUAUGGGUUAUCAUUGGUGAUUAUGGUGCUUGUUAGUGAAGCUAUCUUUGCUUAAUAUAUGUACUAUUUUUGA
This 1113-nucleotide long non-coding RNA is filed under the name Portunus trituberculatus (swimming crab). RNAcentral's name for it is "uncharacterized LOC123508427". Lineage: Eukaryota; Metazoa; Arthropoda; Malacostraca; Decapoda; Portunidae. The record is from RNAcentral.